UUUUACCAGAGUUAGCUUUUAGAAACGUGGUUUUUCUAAUUGAGCAAUGUGCGUGGCUAAAAUUGUGAAUACAAAACCUUAAAUUUGAGUUUGAAAAUGCAUACACGACCGAAGAAACAUAUAAGCUGCUAAAAUAAAUCUUCCCUAGAACUGUUGUACAAAAAAGAUAGAAGUUCCAGCAACAAAUUUAUCACCAGUUCAACCUUUGAUUUGAUGUAAACAGUAAUUGUUUCUUGAUGAGAAAUGCGAAUGAAAUAGUUUAUGGUGUGAUUGUGUUAGUGUUUUAUUAAUAGUUUUGUUGAUGCAGUUUAAAGGUUCAUAGUUUUUCAUUAAAACAUUUGAAAUUGACAUGUUUACAUGCAGUUUAGUGUGAUACCAUUUUAAUAAACAUUAAAAUCUUUCGAACUAGUAGUGGUUUUAUGGCGAUUGACAGAUUGAAUAACGAAAAUUAAGAGUAUUUUAUCAGGAAUAACUUAAUCAUAAAUGGAAACUGAAGACGAACGUUACCAUUGCACCCUUUGAUCGGUGUUAUCUAUUCCAUAACUUUUUAUAGCUGAAACUAGAGAGUAGGUAUAUUGAGCUGAAACGUUUCCUGUGUUCAAUAGCGUUUUUUCUAGCGUUGAAUUGUAAGUUUUAAUGUCAUUAGCAAAGUUUUGCAAAUUGUCACUGUUUCGUAGACAAUUAAAUUCAAGAUAUAUUAUAUUCAAUGUCACCUAAUAAUUGUAAAGGUUUUUCUAUUGAUAUUCACUUUAUUAAUAUAAGGUAGGUUUGUAAAUAAAAUAUUAAUGAAUAAAUAAUGUACUCAGUUUAUUUCAAAAGCACAAAAAUACAGAGUUGUGAAUAUGUAUAUACGCUGACUUAUUUCAUCAUAUAAAUAUUUAUUUAGCAAUAUUAAUACAUUACAACUUUUGUUUCUAUUAACUAAUUCCACUAAAUUUAAUAAAUAAAAUAUACAAUAUAUAAAUUUAAUAUACAAUUUAGCACUUAGAUAUUAAAUAUCUAUAUGUACUAUGCCAAAAAAUAAAACAGGAACAUCAUAUUAUAUCAAGAACACAAAAAAUUACAAUUUAAAAAAAAUGCAUUCUAAAAAAAUACCUAGCUACAAUAUACCUACAUAUUAAUUUAAAGAGCUUAUUCAUAUUCAUAAAAACUAUUCUAAAUGGUUUAUAUACACAAUCAAAAGUAUCAACCACAAUACAAUAAUUUUCAAAUUAUUUCUUAUUAUUCCUCAA
This is a long non-coding RNA of Sitophilus oryzae (rice weevil), 1232 nucleotides long. RefSeq lists it as uncharacterized. The transcript is spliced from 2 exons. The record is from RefSeq and is a predicted model, not a curated record. NCBI's taxonomy places the organism in Eukaryota, Metazoa, Arthropoda, Insecta, Coleoptera, Curculionidae.